RNAcentral lists this ribosomal RNA (404 nucleotides) under uncultured Oscillibacter sp. RNAcentral describes it as "bacterial SSU rRNA". It matches the Rfam family "Bacterial small subunit ribosomal RNA", at positions 356 to 774 of the family's 1533-position model. The record is from RNAcentral. Lineage: Bacteria; Bacillati; Bacillota; Clostridia; Eubacteriales; Oscillospiraceae.
GGGGAAUAUUGGGCAAUGGGGGAAACCCUGACCCAGCGACGUCGCGUGAGGGAAGAAGGUCUUCGGAUUGUAAACCUUUGUCAACAGGGAAGAAGCAAGUGACGGUACCUGAAGAGGAAGCCACGGCUAACUACGUGCCAGCAGCCGCGGUAAUACGUAGGUGGCAAGCGUUGUCCGGAUUUACUGGGUGUAAAGGGCGUGUAGCCGGGAAGGCAAGUCAGAUGUGAAAUCUGGAGGCUCAACCUCCAAACUGCAUUUGAAACUGCUUUUCUUGAGUGUCGGAGAGGUAAUCGGAAUUCCUUGUGUAGCGGUGAAAUGCGUAGAUAUAAGGAAGAACACCAGUGGCGAAGGCGGAUUACUGGACGAUAACUGACGGUGAGGCGCGAAAGCGUGGGGAGCAAACA